AUGAAGUCCAUGCCAGCUGGUCAGUUACUAAGAAAACUACCUGAUGAUUACCAAGAAGGACCUCCAGGAAACCUCAGAUUGCCCAAGGAUCACUCACAGCCAUGGCUUGUGGUCAAGAAGCAUCUGAAGCAAGUACCAGCUCCAAAGCAUUGUAUGCUGGAUAAAUUAAUUGGUGUGUUUGCUCCUCAUCCAUCCACCAGUCCCCACAAGUUGAGAAAGUACCUCCCUGUCAUCAUUUUCCUAAGGAACAGACUUAAGUAUGCCUUGACAGGAGAUGAAGUAAAGAAGAUUUGCAUGUAGUGGUUUAUUAAGAUCAAUGGCAAGGUCCAAACUGAUGUAAUCUACCCUGCUUGGAUUCAUGGAUGUCAUCAGCAUUGACAAGACUGGAGAGAAUUUCCAUCUGAUCUAUGACACCAAGGCUCACUCUGCUGUUCAUCGUAUGAAUCUGAGGAGGCUAAACACAAGUUGUGCCAAGUGAGAAAAAUCUUUGUGGGUACAAAAGGAAUUCCUCAUCUGGUGAUUCAUGAUGUUCACACCAUCCACUGCCCUGAUCCCCUCAUCAAGGUGAAUAACAGAUUCAGAUUGAUUUGGAGACUGGUAAGAUUCCUGAUUUUAUCAAGUUCAACACUGGUAACCUGUGUAUGGUGACUAGGGGCGGGGGGGUGUGCUAAUCUGGGAAGAAUGUGUGUAGUCACCAACAGAGAGAGAUAUCCUGGAUCUUUUGAUGUGGUUCAUGUGAAAGAUGUCAAUGGCAACAGAUUUGUCACCCACCUUUCCAACAUUUUUGUUAUUCGCAAGGGCAACAAACCGUGAAUUUCUCUUCCCUGAGGAAAGGGUAUCUGCCUCUCCAUUGCUGAAGAGAGAGACAAGAGACUGGCAGCCAAACGGAGAAGUAGGUGAAAUGGUCUUUAGAGACAUGUUAGAAAGCUUUUUGUACUUAAUUAAAGAUAAUAUAGCAUGAAGAAAAGAUCAUUCAUCAUGAACAAGUGGGAUUUAUCCCAGGAAUGCAAGGAUUGUUGAACAUACACAAGUCUAUGAAUAUGAUACAUCAUACCAACAGAAUGAAAGACUAAAACCAUAUGAUCAUUUCAACUGAUGCCAAAAAAAGGAUUUGAUAAAAGUCAACAUCCCUUCGAUAAAAGAAAAACCCAAAAAAACUGGGUAUAGAAGGAACAUAACCUCAACAUAAUAAAAGCCAUAUAUAACAGACCCACAGCUAGUAUCAUACUGAAUGGGGAAAAACUGAAAGCCUUUUCUCUAAGAUCUGGAGCACAACAAGGAUGCCCACUUUUGUCACUGUUAAUAAACAUAUUACUGGAAGUCCUAGCUAGAGCAGUCAGAGAAGAGAAAGAAAUAAAGGGCCUCCAAAUUGGAAAGGAAGAAGUAAAAUUAUCAUUGUUUGAAGAUGAUACGAUCCUGUAUUUGGAAAAAUCUAAAGACUCCACACACAGAGACACACACACACACAAACUAUUAGAAGAUAAAGAAACUCAGGAAAGUUGAAGGAUACAAAAAUCAACAUACAAAAAUCAGUAGCAUUAUUGUAUGUUAACAGCAAUCUGAAAAAUAAAUCAAAAUAGUAAUCUCAUUUACAAUAGCCACAAAUAAAAUAAAAUACCUGGGAAUUAUCCAAAGAAGUGAAAGAUCUCUAUAAUGAAAAUUCUAAAAUAGUGAUGACA
This is an RNA transcript of Cercocebus atys (sooty mangabey), 1679 nucleotides long. It is a transcript of the gene named 40S ribosomal protein S4 pseudogene, with no coding region annotated. The transcript is spliced from 2 exons. The record is from RefSeq and is a predicted model, not a curated record. NCBI's taxonomy places the organism in Eukaryota, Metazoa, Chordata, Mammalia, Primates, Cercopithecidae.